RNAcentral lists this transfer RNA (69 nucleotides) under Alectorobius atacamensis. RNAcentral's name for it is "tRNA-Lys". It matches the Rfam family "tRNA". From Rfam's summary of the family: Transfer RNA (tRNA) molecules are approximately 80 nucleotides in length. Their secondary structure includes four short double-helical elements and three loops (D, anti-codon, and T loops). Further hydrogen bonds mediate the characteristic L-shaped molecular structure. tRNAs have two regions of fundamental functional importance: the anti-codon, which is responsible for specific mRNA codon recognition, and the 3' end, to which the tRNAs corresponding amino acid is attached (by aminoacyl-tRNA synthetases). tRNAs cope with the degeneracy of the genetic code in two manners: having more than one tRNA (with a specific anti-codon) for a particular amino acid; and 'wobble' base-pairing, i.e. permitting non-standard base-pairing at the 3rd anti-codon position. The record is from RNAcentral. Lineage: Eukaryota; Metazoa; Arthropoda; Arachnida; Ixodida; Argasidae.
CAUUGAAUGGCUGAAAUGAAAGCAAUGGUCUCUUAAACCACUUUAUAGUAUCAUACAUACUUUCAAUGA